This 492-nucleotide ribosomal RNA is filed under the name uncultured bacterium. Its description in RNAcentral is "partial 16S ribosomal RNA". It matches the Rfam family "Bacterial small subunit ribosomal RNA", at positions 29 to 507 of the family's 1533-position model. The record is from RNAcentral.
AGUGAACGCUGGCGGUAGGCCUAACACAUGCAAGUCGAACGGCAGCACAGUAAGAGCUUGCUCUUACGGGUGGCGAGUGGCGGACGGGUGAGGAAUACAUCGGAAUCUACUUUUUCGUGGGGGAUAACGUAGGGAAACUUACGCUAAUACCGCAUACGACCUCCGGGUGAAAGCAGGGAAUCUUCGGACCUUGCGCGAUUGAAUGAGCCGAUGACGGAUUAGCUAGUUGGCGGGGUAAAGGCCCACCAAGGCGACGAUCCGUAGCUGGUCUGAGAGGAUGGUCAGACACCCUGGCGCUGAGGCUCGGUCCACACUCCUGCGGUAGGCAGCAGUGGGGAAUCUUGGACGAUGGGCGCAAGCCUGAUCCAGCCCUACCGCGUGGGUGAAGAAGGCGUUCGGGUUGUUAAGCCCUUUUGUUGGGAAAGAAGAGCAGCAGGUUAAUACCCCGCUGUUCUGACGGUACCCGGAGAAUAAGCACCGGCUAACUUCGUG